Molecule: long non-coding RNA, 241 nt
Organism: Sinocyclocheilus rhinocerous
Lineage: Eukaryota; Metazoa; Chordata; Actinopteri; Cypriniformes; Cyprinidae
Exons: 3
Source: RefSeq, a predicted model, not a curated record
GCCUUUGUGGCUACCUGGGACAGUGUGCCGUACUACAGUGAUGAAGGGUUGGUUACUUUCCAAGUAGUUUUAGUCUCCAAUGGUGAACGCUCUUUCAUCCUGAUCAACUAUGGUGAUAUUGCACAAACAGGACAAGUUUGGCUGGCUGGUUAUGACACAGUGGACUCUGUCAAUUCUUUCACAAUUCCAGCAGCCAGUGCCCCAGAACUCUCAUACAGCAGUAAUAUCAAUGUGAAUGGUC